RNAcentral lists this ribosomal RNA (947 nucleotides) under Mooreonuphis pallidula. RNAcentral describes it as "partial 16S ribosomal RNA". The stretch from base 389 to 947 matches the Rfam family "Eukaryotic large subunit ribosomal RNA", at positions 1891 to 2956 of the family's 3401-position model. The record is from RNAcentral. Lineage: Eukaryota; Metazoa; Annelida; Polychaeta; Eunicida; Onuphidae.
AUUAAGUGAGCUGAUCUCUAUUUGUUUAGAACCCAAUUAAUUAUGUGGCAAUAUAUAUACAAAAAUAAAUAUCAGAGGCUACAUACCUACCGCACUUUAAUAUAUCUAAUUUCCCAACAACCCAGUCUAAGCUGAAAUAAUUAUAUAAUUAAAAAUUCUAUCUUUAUAAUUAUCCAAAUAUAUAAAGGAUAAGCUUUAUAUAAUAUCCCUUAUAAUAAAAAAAUAUAUAUACAAGUAGGCCUAAAAUCAGCCAUCCACAACUACGUUAUAGUAAUUCCUUAAUAAAAAUUCCACUCAAAUAAAUAACACUGGGAUAUCUACUAAAACCUUUAAGCAAACUACUUAUGCAAAGAUCAAUAUUAUUAAACACCAAAACAUAUUCAUCAACUAUAUUUAAUAAAGGAACUCGGCAAAUACAAAUUUCGACUGUUUAACAAAAACAUUGCCUAAUGUUUAAAACCCAUACUAGGUUCAUCCUGCCCAGUGAUAUUAUUCAACGGCCGCGGUAUCCUGACCGUGCAAAGGUAGCAUAAUCAUUUGCCCUUUAAUUAAGGGCUAGAAUGAAUGGACAAACGAAAAUUUCCCUGUCUCUAUUAAAACCCUAUAACUUAACCUUUAGGUGAAGAGGCCUAAAUAAAUAUAUAAGACAAGAAGACCCUGUCGAGCUUUAUCAUCCACCUAACUACAAUAAAAAAUAUACUCAAGACAAAGAUUUUGUUGGGGCGACAAAGGAAUAAACUAAAACUCCUAAAAACUUAAGAUAUCACUUCUAUCUAACGACCCAUAUUUUAUGAUCACAGAAACUAGCUACCGCAGGGAUAACAGUCUAAUUUUCCCCAAGAGCCCAAAUCUAAUGGAAAGAUUAGCACCUCGAUGUUGGCUUAGGGAUUCUUCUAAGUGCAGCCACUUAAAAAGAAGGUUUGUUCAACCUUUAACCCCUACAUGAG